Molecule: ribosomal RNA, 739 nt
Filed under: Staphylococcus aureus
Lineage: Bacteria; Bacillati; Bacillota; Bacilli; Caryophanales; Staphylococcaceae
Description: bacterial SSU rRNA
Rfam family: Bacterial small subunit ribosomal RNA
Source: RNAcentral
AAAGACGGUCUUGCUGUCACUUAUAGAUGGAUCCGCGCUGCAUUAGCUAGUUGGUAAGGUAACGGCUUACCAAGGCAACGAUGCAUAGCCGACCUGAGAGGGUGAUCGGCCACACUGGAACUGAGACACGGUCCAGACUCCUACGGGAGGCAGCAGUAGGGAAUCUUCCGCAAUGGGCGAAAGCCUGACGGAGCAACGCCGCGUGAGUGAUGAAGGUCUUCGGAUCGUAAAACUCUGUUAUUAGGGAAGAACAUAUGUGUAAGUAACUGUGCACAUCUUGACGGUACCUAAUCAGAAAGCCACGGCUAACUACGUGCCAGCAGCCGCGGUAAUACGUAGGUGGCAAGCGUUAUCCGGAAUUAUUGGGCGUAAAGCGCGCGUAGGCGGUUUUUUAAGUCUGAUGUGAAAGCCCACGGCUCAACCGUGGAGGGUCAUUGGAAACUGGAAAACUUGAGUGCAGAAGAGGAAAGUGGAAUUCCAUGUGUAGCGGUGAAAUGCGCAGAGAUAUGGAGGAACACCAGUGGCGAAGGCGACUUUCUGGUCUGUAACUGACGCUGAUGUGCGAAAGCGUGGGGAUCAAACAGGAUUAGAUACCCUGGUAGUCCACGCCGUAAACGAUGAGUGCUAAGUGUUAGGGGGUUUCCGCCCCUUAGUGCUGCAGCUAACGCAUUAAGCACUCCGCCUGGGGAGUACGACCGCAAGGUUGAAACUCAAAGGAAUUGACGGGGACCCGCACAAG